This 513-nucleotide ribosomal RNA is filed under the name uncultured bacterium. Its description in RNAcentral is "bacterial SSU rRNA". It matches the Rfam family "Bacterial small subunit ribosomal RNA", at positions 21 to 518 of the family's 1533-position model. The record is from RNAcentral.
GGCUCAGGACGAACGCUGGCGGCGUGCCUAACACAUGCAAGUCGAACGGAGAUACUUUGAAGCUUGCGAUAAAGUAUCUAGUGGCGGACGGGUGAGUAACGCGUGGGUAAUCUGCCCAUAAGUGGGGAACAACAGUUGGAAACGACUGCUAAUACCGCAUAAUCUGCCUUAGGGUAGGAAAGGUGGCCUCUUAACAAUGCUGCCGCUUAUGGAUGAGCCCGCGUCUGAUUAGCUAGUUGGUGGGUAAAGGCCUACCAAGGCGACGAUCAGUAGCCGGCCUGAGAGGGUGAACGGCCACACUGGGACUGAGACACGGCCCAGACUCCUACGGGAGGCAGCAGUGGGGAAUAUUGCGCAAUGGGGGAAACCCUGACGCAGCGACGCCGCGUGAGCGAAGAAGGCCUUAGGGUUGUAAAGCUCUGUUUUAGGGGACGAAUGUUCAUAGGAGUAAUAUGCCUGUGAAAUGACGGUACCCUAAGAGGAAGCCCCGGCUAACUACGUGCCAGCAGCCGC